CUGUCUCGAUUUUCAAUCUAACCCUAAUCCCCAAACACUGCUACCCUCCUACUUAAUACGCGAGCUCUCUCUCUCUCUGUACAUGUCGCGCUUGUCUCUCUUUUACGCACACACUCACUCACAGGUGCACCGAAGGCAUUCGCCGAAGCUCUAGCGACUAGCAUCUUCUUCCAUAACUGUAGCCUCAGCAUCUACUGCCGGAGCCGUAGCUCUGAGCUAGAGUGGCCUCACUAUCUCACUCAGGGCGGCGGGCCUCCCAGCGGUGACGCUCAAAGACCAAAGUGGUUCACUUGCCAGGUAAGUUUCUACUUCGUGUUUUCUUUCUCUAAAUACGUAUGUAUCUGCAUGUGUAUAUAUUGAUAUACAAUGUCUAUAUUUGUGUCUAUAUAUUUUUUCAAUAUUUGUAUAUUUAUGUUUAUACAAUUAUAAAAUCAAAACCACCUUCUAUACUUUGCAAAAGAAGAAAAAAUAAUUGAAAGAAUAACUUUCACAAUGCACAGAAGGUGUUUGGCUAAAUGUCUGAAUGAGUUUAUAUUUGUUUCUCAGCACAACUUUGUUCCUAGUGGGCUGUUCUCCACAUGGUUUUGUUGAUUUUGGGUUGGCGGACUCACAGAUGAACUCCUUGUAGCAUUCAAUCAAUAGUUAAAUUCAUUAUAGUUUGGUUUGUCAUUGAUUUCUUUAAAAGCAUGAUUAGUUCAACAGAUUAAUUAAGCUUCUUGCUUGAUUGACCUUAUUCUAAAUCAUGGGUUUAUACAUCAAAUUGCAUUUUUAGUUUGUUCAUCAUUGGCUUUUGCCAAAAAAAAAAAAAAAA
Camellia sinensis is the source of this 811-nucleotide non-coding RNA. The record is from RefSeq and is a predicted model, not a curated record. NCBI's taxonomy places the organism in Eukaryota, Viridiplantae, Streptophyta, Magnoliopsida, Ericales, Theaceae.